RNAcentral lists this ribosomal RNA (384 nucleotides) under Triticum aestivum (bread wheat). RNAcentral describes it as "partial small subunit ribosomal RNA". Lineage: Eukaryota; Viridiplantae; Streptophyta; Magnoliopsida; Poales; Poaceae. The record is from RNAcentral.
AUGGUCACUCGAGCAAAACGUGGUCUCUUCCAGCCCGUCGACCGUCUCAACCUUCAUGUUUCCCACUCGACUCCUUCUCCUAUUCCUAAAACAUACCGGGGAGCACUACAUGACCCGCACUGGCGUCGUGCUAUGAACGAGGAAUGUGAUGCUCUUGUUGCUAACCGGAUGUGGUCUCUUGUUCCACGUCCUCCUUGUGCUCAUGUUGUUUCAGGAAAGUGGAUCUUCAAACAUAAAUUUCACUCGGACGGCAGCCUUGCACGGUACAAGGCGCGAUGGGUCGUACGUGGCUACUCUCAACAACCAGGCAUUGACUUCGACGAGACUUUUAGCCAUGUUGUGAAGCCCGCCACGAUCCGUAUUGUUCUCAGUCUUGCCGUCUCC